AUUGAACGCUGGCGGCAGGCCUAACACAUGCAAGUCGAACGAGUGGCGGACGGGUGAGUAAUGUCUGGGAAACUGCCCGAUGGAGGGGGAUAACUACUGGAAACGGUAGCUAAUACCGCAUACCAUCGGAUGUGCCCAGAUGGGAUUAGCUAGUAGGUGGGGUAAAGGCGCACCUAGGCGACGAGCCCUAGCUGGUCUGAGAGGAUGACAAGCGACACGGGAACUGAGACACGGUCAAGACUCCUACGGGAGGCAGCAGUGGGAAAUAUAGAGCAAUGGGCGCAAGCCUGAUGCAGCCAAGCCGCGUGCACGAAGAAGGCCUUAGGGUUGUAAAGUACUGUAAGCGGGGAGGCGUUACCCGCAGAAGAAGCGCCGGCUAACUCCGUGCCAGCAGCCGCGGUAAUAC
RNAcentral lists this ribosomal RNA (406 nucleotides) under uncultured bacterium. Its description in RNAcentral is "partial 16S ribosomal RNA". It matches the Rfam family "Bacterial small subunit ribosomal RNA", at positions 29 to 526 of the family's 1533-position model. The record is from RNAcentral.